Molecule: ribosomal RNA, 207 nt
Filed under: uncultured bacterium
Lineage: Bacteria
Description: partial 16S ribosomal RNA
Rfam family: Bacterial small subunit ribosomal RNA
Source: RNAcentral
AGCGCAGGCGGGAAGACAAGUUGGAAGUGAAAUCCAUGGGCUCAACCCAUGAACUGCUUUCAAAACUGUUUUUCUUGAGUAGUGCAGAGGUAGGCGGAAUUCCCGGUGUAGCGGUGGAAUGCGUAGAUAUCGGGAGGAGCACCAGUGGCGAAGGCGGCCUACUGGGCACCAACUGACGCUGAGGCUCGAAAGUGUGGGUAGCAAACA